Molecule: ribosomal RNA, 450 nt
Filed under: uncultured bacterium
Lineage: Bacteria
Description: partial 16S ribosomal RNA
Rfam family: Bacterial small subunit ribosomal RNA
Source: RNAcentral
GUGGGGAAUAUUGGACAAUGGGCGAAAGCCUGAUCCAGCCAUGCCGCGUGUGUGAAGAAGGUCUUCGGAUUGUAAAGCACUUUAAGUUGGGAGGAAGGGCAGUAAGUUAAUACCUUGCUGUUUUGACGUUACCGACAGAAUAAGCACCGGCUAACUUCGUGCCAGCAGCCGCGGUAAUACGAAGGGUGCAAGCGUUAAUCGGAAUUACUGGGCGUAAAGCGCGCGUAGGUGGUUUUGUAAGUUGGAGGUGAAAUCCCCGGGCUCAACCUGGGAACUGCCUCCAAAACUGCAUGACUAGAGUACGGUAGAGGGUAGUGGAAUUUCCUGUGUAGCGGUGAAAUGCGUAGAUAUAGGAAGGAACACCAGUGGCGAAGGCGACUACCUGGACUGAUACUGACACUGAGGUGCGAAAGUGUGGGGAGCAAACAGGAUUAGAAACCCCAGUAGUCC